Molecule: ribosomal RNA, 1050 nt
Filed under: uncultured crenarchaeote
Lineage: Archaea; Thermoproteati; Thermoproteota
Description: bacterial SSU rRNA
Rfam family: Archaeal small subunit ribosomal RNA
Source: RNAcentral
CGCGGGAUUGGGAGACGGGGUGCAGCAGGCGCGAAACCUUUACAAUGCACGAAAGUGUGAUAAGGGAAUCCUAAGUGCUCAUACACAGUAUGGGCUUUUGCCAAGGGUAAAUACCUUGGAGAAUAAGCGGUGGGUAAGACUGGUGCCAGCAGCCGCGGUAACACCAGCGCCGCAAGUGGGGACCUCUUUUAUUGGGCCUAAAGCGUCCGUAGCUGGUUUAGUAAAUCUCUUGUGAAAUCGUUAGACUCAAUUUAACGGCAUGCAGGAGACACUGCUUUACUAGAGACCGGGAGAAGUAUGGAGUAUUCCGGGGGAACCGGUAAAAUGGGAUAAUCCUCGGAGGACUACCUGUGGCGAAGGCGCCAUACUAGAACGGAUCUGACAGUGAGGGACGAAGGCUAGGGGAGCAAACCGGAUUAGAUACCCGAGUAGUCCUAGCAGUAAACGCUGCCAGCCAGGCGUUGCACAUUCCACGGGAAUGUGCAGUGUCGUAACGAAGGUGUUAAGCUGGCCGCCUGGGAAGUAUGGUCGCAAGACUGAAACUUAGAGGAAUUGGCGGGGGAGCACCCCAAGGGGUGCGGCGUGCGGUUUAAUCUAACUCAACGCAGAGAAUCUCACCAGAGGCGACGGCAGGAUGAAGGUCAGUCUGAAGGGCUUACCCGACGAGCCGAGAGGUGGUGCAUGGCCGCCGUCAGCUCGUGCUGUGAGGUGUCCUGUUAAGUCAGGUAACGAGCGAGACCUGUACCUACAAUUGCCAGCAACUAGCUUGCUAGGAUUGGGCACAAUGUAGGAACUGCCUUGGAAACAAGGAGGAAGGUGCAGGCUACGGUAAGUCUGUAUACCCCGAAUCUUCUAGGCUACACGCGCGCAACAAUGAUAAGGACAAUAAAAUACGACUCCGAGAGGAGAAGCCAAACCUCAAAACCUUAUCUUAGUUCAGAUUGAGGGCUGUAACUCGCCCUCAUGACGCCGGAAUCCCUAGUAAUCCCGUGUCAUCAUCGCGGGGUGAAUAUGUCCCUGCUCCUUGCACGAAUUCGCCGAAUCACUAGU